This 605-nucleotide ribosomal RNA is filed under the name uncultured bacterium. Its description in RNAcentral is "bacterial SSU rRNA". It matches the Rfam family "Bacterial small subunit ribosomal RNA", at positions 338 to 961 of the family's 1533-position model. The record is from RNAcentral.
CCUACGGGAGGCAGCAGUAAGGAAUCUUCCACAAUGGACGAAAGUCUGAUGGAGCAACGCCGCGUGCAGGAUGAAGGCUUUCGGGUCGUAAACUGCUUUUAUAUGGGAAGAUUAUGACGGUACCAUAUGAAUAAGGACCGGCUAACUACGUGCCAGCAGCCGCGGUAAUACGUAGGGUCCAAGCGAUAUCCGGAAUUACUGGGCGUAAAGCGUGUGUAGGUGGAUUAAUAAGUGUGAUGCGAAAUCCGGCGGCUCAACCGUUUGGACUGUGUCGCAUACUGUUAGUCUAGAGGACGGCAGAGGUAAGUGGAAUUACGGGUGUAGCAGUGAAAUGCGUAGAUAUCCGUAGGAACACCAAUGGCGAAGGCAGCUUACUGGGCCACACCUGACACUGAGACACGAAAGCGUGGGGAGCGAACAGGAUUAGAUACCCUGGUAGUCCACGCCGUAAACGAUGCAUACUAUUAGUAUGGGGUAUCGACCCCCUGUGCUGAGAAGCUAACGCGAUAAGUAUGCCGCCGUGGGAGGUACGAGCGCGAGACUUAAACUACAAUAGAGUAGACGGCGUGAGACGUGCCGACGGACGACGACGACGGGAGGUUAGG